This is a non-coding RNA of Oryzias melastigma (Indian medaka), 482 nucleotides long. The record is from the annotation of a RefSeq genome assembly. Lineage: Eukaryota; Metazoa; Chordata; Actinopteri; Beloniformes; Adrianichthyidae.
GGUGGAGUCAAUGCAAACAUGGACGUCUUCCUCCUCUACUUAUCUGACAGCAGAGAUGACAGCAGAGAAGACUGAAGUCAGUUUAACAUGAUGGACUGUAGGACAGGACUGCUGCUUUUAACUCUCUGUUAUGCAGUUGUUGAUGGAGUGACUCUGACUGAGUCUGGACCUGUGGUUAAAAGACCUGGAGAAUCCCACAAACUGACCUGUUCAGCCUCUGGAUUCACUUUCAGCAGCUAUGCCAUGAACUGGAUCAGACAGGCUCCUGGAAAAGGACUGGAGUGGAUUGCUUGGAUCCACCCCAGUGACAGCAGCAGGAUCUACUACUCAGAGUCAGUGAAAAACCGCUUCACCAUCUCCAGAGACAACAGCAGAGAGCAGGUGUAUCUGCAGAUGAACAGUCUGAGAGCUGAGGAUUCUGCUGUUUAUUACUGCGCUCGAGAGACACAGUGACUCAAGAGACACAAACUCUGUACAAAAAC